Lagopus muta (rock ptarmigan) is the source of this 32016-nucleotide long non-coding RNA. RefSeq lists it as uncharacterized. The record is from RefSeq and is a predicted model, not a curated record. Lineage: Eukaryota; Metazoa; Chordata; Aves; Galliformes; Phasianidae. The transcript has 9 exons.
UUUUCCCAGCAGUAAAAAACUGUGGAAAUGCCAGCCUCAGCUCUACUUUCUAUCAACAGGAACACUGAAAGUAUCUGGUGUUGUAAUAUGGAUCCAGCAGAACACAAUGAAUUUUGCUAUGAGCUUGGAUGCAAUGUAAAUAAUUUAAACACAAAUCUUGAACUUUUCCUGCGAGCAAGACAUGAUGCAGCCUAGGUCAUCCACCUCAGAUUCUUACAUCAGAAGGCAAGUUGGAGAUGAGUUUACAUGUUUACAUGUUUACAUAUGGUGAUUCUCAUUUCAAGAAUUUAAGGAACUAUAAGACAUAUUGGGGAAUUCCUAUGUUCUCCAUUUUUUUUGUCUUCUCAAGAGGGCUCAAAUGGAAGAAGAAAUCACAGCAAUGUGACAUGAUGAAAUACACUGAUGACAGACUUUGAUUUCUUGCCAUACGCAGUAUGCACUGUGGUGCAGAGGACUCCGGUUGCUGUAAUUUUCAGAAGGAAGAAUAAUGAUCACAGAGAACUGACCUCGUACUUGCUAUGACUGAAAAGUUCUUAAAGAAAACUCGUGGCAGGCAGUGGAUAGCAAGGAGGAGCAGCCCAAAAUCGAUUCUCAGGUGGUGUUGUCUGUGAUCCAAGUGCUUGGAAGAAUCUGAAUACCCAUUUGUUGCCACCGGCCAAAUGCAAGUGCUGUGCGUUUCCACUUCUGGCUCCUCCAAAACGUUUGGAAUACAACAGGCAGUGAGAAACUGAGCGUGGUGGGCUCCAGAUCAGAAAAUCUCCCCCGAAGAUUCAGAAUCAGUUACAAACCAUGAAGACAUUGAUGUUUCCCAUUGUCUGACAAAGGACACUUGUCUCUUUCAGUGCCGAGGGUAAACAGUCUCACAAAAACCUGCCGAGCACCUGCUGGUAUGCUUUUUAUGCUGUGUGGCACUAAUCUUAUUUGUUUGUCACUGUUUAAAGCAUCUCAGAAGAGGAAUAGUUAUCUCACAGACUUUUCUGUCUCAUUUAUCACUCACGACUGUCUCUAAGGGCUUCACACUGACUAAUUAAUUUAACUUCACAAACUCUUGCAAGAUAAGGGAUGGCAUUUCAUUGAGGCACAGAGAGAUGAAGGUCAAAAGUUUCUCCAAACUUGGAAGUGCUGUACUGAGAUGCUCUCAGCAUGGUGUUUAGAACAAUACAGCUUUUUAUGUUCAAAUUACAAAUUGCUAUUUGUCUCAGUUGGAAUAAAUAGUGCUCAGCAUUUCUGUCAAUCACAGUCUAAGUUCAGGACAGACAUCCAUAAAAUAGGAGAUGAAUAGUUGUGAAAAUAUGCUGUCUAUAAUUGCCUCAGUUAGUGAGAGGACGGCAAAAAAUUUUUGACAGAUGCAAGGCUAUAUGGCACGCUAUAAUCUGAGACAGCAUUUAAUGUUCAGGAUGUUUUCUUCUGCAGCAGCUCUUCUGUGUCAUUUUCAGAGAUCACCUCCAAGCUCGAGAGUGGUCUGUCUUGAUGAGCAGGAAAGUAUGGAAAAGGAUGGUGUUAGGAAUGCCAAAGCCCAGCAUGAGUUGAAUCUGAUUGCAGUUCUGAAGGGCAACAAGAAACAUUUCCAGAUUCCUUAUCCAAUUCUAUUCUGUCUCUAUCAGCUCAGUCUUCAAGACGUAUUUCAGUUGUCAUUCCCUUUUCCACAGACCUUACCAGUCAGUAUAAUUCCUUGCUCCAUCCUCUUUCCCUGGACUGUCUUUCCCCUUCCUAGUAGCUGUAUCCCAGAUUAGCUUCCUUCACUUUGGUUCUGACUUCAUUCCCAUUGCCUCUUCCUGUGCCCAUGCCCCACUUGUUUUACUGAGCAAAACUAAAUGGUUUUACCAGGCUGAAGUGCUCCAUCUGAAACUUUUUGUAGAGAAAUAAGAGAAGCCUGAAGCAGAAAGCACAGAAAAUGCAGCUCACAUGGUAGAAGUUUUGUCGGUGCUUUAAGCAAUGGAAAAUAUGAUUUUAUGAAGUGUUAAGCAACCUUAGGGACAGACCCACUUACAUGCAAUAGCAUAUUUUUGAAAUGUCCAGGAUUCCCAAAUACUGUCCCAAACAGAAUCAUAGGUGAUGUCAACUAUAGCACAGAACAGCUUAUAUUUAAAAAAGGAUUUUUCUUCAGGAAAUGAAAAAAAAUACUUAAACAUUGUUUAUAAUUACACUUCCCUAGUCUUAAUGACUAAAGUAUUGAAAAACAAAAUUUGUAAACAAAUACUGCCCAAAAAUUAACAUAGAGUGACACUAAGCAGUAGAAUCCCAUUGCAUCAGUGCAUAGUUGCCGGAGGCCAAUAUUUGGAGCUCAUAUCUGCAACUGUAGAGUUGCAUUAAUAGUCUACCCUAAAAGAAUAUAAACUGCUCUAUUAAAAUUUUUCCAGAAAAAUAGUGAAACAACAAUAUUUUUUUAAUUAGUUGACAGUAAAUUUAUAGUUUAAAUUAUUUCCAUGGUACAGUUCACAUAUAUAAACAUUUACAAGUAAAGAAAACCUGCAAAAUACCAUUUUGGGGAUAUUGCUCAGUAGCUGACAAGGAUGAAGUCAACUGAAAUGUAUUUUUAACCAGAAGAUAAAUCCUGUUUGAAAGCUUUGUAAAGGAACCUUAUAAAUUCUGACAAAAAGUAUGAAUUUAUUUUAUUCUCUAGACCUCGGUUUGGCUUCUGACCAUUGGAAAACUGGUGUAAAUCUGGAAUACCUCCUUUGAAACCAGCUAAGACUUUCAGAAUUUAUACUUCCAUAUCCAAGCAAAGAAUUUAUCCCAUGGGCUCAAAGCCAGCUCUCUUGAGCAGGAGACUAAGUCUGGCUGCACAGGGGAGAAGCUGUGGCAGCUGGCCAGCCUCUCUCCCAGGAAGAUGUGUUAGGCUCAUCACCAGAUCCCUUUGGGCAUUCAGCAUCAUGGGAAAUAGCCAGACUCCAUUCUGAGUGGCAACUGUUUUAGAGAGCCAUCUGAAAUCACUCUUAGGAGGCUCAGAGGAGAUGGCCACCGCCUAAAAGUCCCUGACUAGUUUCUUGGCCUCUUGUUUCAGGGCUGCUAUGACUUGCUCUCAGUCCUCAUUCUUUUUGUAACAUAAUUUAUGACCACAAGCAGUGCAGCAGGAAAGGGAAAAGAUGACAAAUACGUUAAACAUAACCAUAUACUUGAAAAUCUAAAUAUCAGACUAUUCCCUAGCUAUGUGAUUACAGGCAGCUUCAAAGCAAAAAGGCACAUUUUCAGUAAAUACAUUUUAUUUUGUAUACACUACCUUUGCUUGAAGGACAGUCUGCAGGAGCACAGCAAACUGAUUUUAAACAGACAUCAACUAGAGUUUGUGGCUCGUCACUUGGGAGUUCCCAUGAGACAUACAGAGUCAUCAUAUGGGAAAGAAUAAAAAUACAAACAUAAAUGUUGCAUGUCUUCAGAAUUCUCUUCUUUCCCUCCCAAGACCCUGAGGGAUGGUCCACCCAGUCGUGCUCCAAUGUAAUGCAGAAGGGCCAUCCUCUGACACAUUCCCACUUCCUAGCUCUUAAACUCAAGUGAAAUUACUGUUGGAAAAAACAUCAGGAGGAAAUACUUCUGCUUCAUAUUGUCAGUACCAUAAAGGGAAGUGGAAUGGUUGCGCUGGAUGGCUGAUUUAAUAGAUAUAGCUGUUAAUACCCUUAAGACCUUCCUGCCCCACUGCUGCUGUCUCCUCUUCUGGGAACUGUUCUAAGGUGUUGUAAAUGUCUCCUCCUUCGGCCUGUGCUCUGAAGUGGAUCCCAAGCUCCUGUCUCUGGUCUUCCUCCACACUGCUGGAGAACAGUUUCAAAACCAGCUCAUGUUCCUUUACUAGCAUUAUGCAGAUUUAAAUGAGGUGCCCACUCCUCCUUUUGAGCACCACAUUGGCGUAAAGUGGAUUGUCUGCAUGCCAGCUCCCAGCUGGGAAUUCAAACUGAACUUAUCCGCCUCCUUCUUAUGGCCUUAUUCCUCUCCCUUUGGAAGGGAAGGGCAUUCUGUGUGCUGGACACAGCACAUCUGUUUUUAAAACCUCAAGUUUAUUGGCCAGUCAAAUCCAAAAGUUUCUGCAAUCAGAAGCUUUCCAUGCAAUGACUUUUAGAGGAGACCCUAGUAAUUAGAAUCUGCAGGUCCGCUUCAUACAGGAUUUCUGAGAGGACAAGAAAUUAGGCAACUUGAAGGUAAAGAGAAAUAAAUUAUUUUUCUAGUCAUCAGAUGCCAUUAAUGCCUUUUUGUAAAUACCUGCAUUAGAGAGAACCAAUGCAAAGUAAGAGUUUCCCAGAACUCUACAUCUUCUAGCUCUUGGGUAGCACUUAAACAGGAAAAGACCGAGGUGUGACCAGAGCCAGCCAAAGCCUUCUUGAAGAUGUGGGAAGGUGGCCACCUCAGUGAUGAGGAUAAAGGUAACACGCAGCUGUCUGGCGAGGAACGGGAGAAAAGGGGAAGGCCUGGCACCCAGCGCCUGGGAAGCCGUGCUGCUCAGCAGUGCAGGUGUGCCACAGCCGAGGACUGGAGGAUGUCAGCAGCAUCCUUAAAAUGCUCAGCCUUAAAAUGUUCAGAUUUGUGGUCAUAGCAGGCCUGUGUGUUUUUCAGAGCUCUAGCAGAGGAAAUGGAAGCAGGAAAGCUAUGGCUGUUUUACAGUCCCCAGCAGUUCGCUGCCAUGGGUAACAGCCACCCACACUGGCUGUUCCACAUGAGAACCCCCUGAAAACCAAUCACUGACAAAAGCCUCCCUGAAUCCAGGCAACUUUAUCAUUGUUUUAUUAUCUAAAACUUUUUUCACCCUAAAUAAAAAAGCCCAAGCUUUUUUACUGAAAAAAGCCUGAAACAUCUGACUUGUGUGUUCUUUUUAAUAAUUUUCCCUUUCUGUAGCUUGUUAGCCUGUUUCUGGGCAACAGCAGCUACUUGUUAGCUUUUUUGUUCCCCUUCUUCCUUCUUCUGUCACUGUUCUUUGUACAUAUUAGCGAUAAAGACACCACACUCAAAGGAUUUGCUGCAGUGGACGUAGUCGAUUCUUUGAGGGUAAAAAGAAACAUUUUAUACUUCCUGUUUACAAAAUAAGAGAUUUCUUAUUUCGCUUUUUCAAACUUCUGGCUUACAUAAAUAAGAAAAAAAAAGCAAAAAAGCAAAGCAAAACAAAACAAAAAAGCGAGGAAGGAUACAAUAAAGAGUAUCUGGUAGCAAAAAGAUGAGCAGAGACCAAUUUUCAUUUGCUUUCUAGAAUAAAUCCUCAGACAGCACAAAGGACAAUCAGAAUUGGAGCCUGAGGAUUCCUCUGUGAGUAAUUUAAACUCAAGUUAAAUUCUCUGCAGUCUGUGGUAAACCAUUUUACCUAUGGCAAGUAGUUCCUAACCUACUACCUACAAAAGUACAUCUGCAUUUAUUAUCUCCAGCUAAUAUCAGAAAGAAUGUGGCUAUAUUUGAUGCUUGAAAGCCAAAGGAGUAACUUAAAUCUGAGAAACUGUUUUCUUGGAUUGUGAAUGGAAAAAAAAAAUCAAACUUUGUUUCUCAUGUUACAAAAGCUUUCUGAGUAAUUUCACGAGUUUUCAUUUAACAGAUGUAGGCUCACAGUAAUCAAAUCCGCAGCACAGGUAUUGCAGUCUUUAAGCAUGAAAGAACAAAUGUAAGAACAUACCCUGCCAGAGAUGGAUUUUAUUAGCUGCUUUUCUGACUUGAUUGCUAUAGACUGAGAAAACUCCUGCACCCACCUGCACACCCCCUGCAAAAAAAGAACUCUUCCCACCACUACCACUCAGCAGCUAGCUGGGGCCAUGGUUUUAAAUCAGAUUCAGCCAAUCCUAGCCAACCUGGAAUGGGAAGACAAUGAAGUACGUAAGCAUUAAUUUAAUCAAAAUUGCAUUAUGCUCACACUUACUUUACUGAGAAUUCAGAGAUUCUGAGAAUUAAUAGAUACUCAAAACUUUUUGCUACUAUGCUGUUUUGCCUUUUUGGCAUAAUAAUAGGUGUUUAUUUCUUAUCCCCUGUAGAUUUUUUAAGUACUAAGGAGUGCUGUAGUGCAACUGCAGUGGAAGAAUGCAAAGCAAGAGCUCAAGGAAAGUGAGCAUGGUCAAUGCAUGUUUUAUUCAUAUGAAUCACGGUGUUUUUGUAUGGAAUUAUUAAACUACAGGUUGGUGUUAAUCUACAGUUUGUUAAAUAAAUGUAGUUGUUUAUUGGAAUGCCUAAGGAAUGGGGUCAAUACUCCCUCCACCCUUGCAUAGCAUGGCUCUUUGAGUGGGAACCCAGAGCACUCACAGCGCUGACACAUCUCCUCUAUCCCUCACCCCCAUAUCAGCACAUGGUUCAUUCUCUGCUUUUACUCCAAGGCGAAGCAGAUCAGAGAGUUGUCAAACCCCUUAGGAAGCAUAUGCUGUAACCUUAUUAAUAGCAUGUGAGGAAGUGUGGCUCUUAUGAGCAGAGUCCCCUCAGCUGCUGUUGUAGAAGUGGGGUCUUGGCAUUUUAGCUUAAAUCUAAGCAUUUUCAGCUUAAGGAAAGGCUGAGAGACCUUCUCCUUAGAAAAAUUACUUACAAAUAUUUCUUCAUAGAAUUCUUAUAGAAGUUAUGGCUGUUAUCAGUGGCACGAUAACAGGGAAAGAACAACAGUAUUUUUUCCUUCCAGUACCUAAAGGGGCCUACAGGAAAGCUGAGAAGGGACUUUUUAUAAGGGCAGGUAGCAGCUGGAUAGGGGUAAAUGCUUUUAAACUGGAUGAGGGGUAGAUUUAGACUAGCUAUUAGGAAGAAAUUCUUGACUGUGAGGGUGGUGACACUGGAAUAGGUUGCCCAGUGAGGUUGUGAAUGCCCCUCCAUGGAAGCAUUCAAGGCCAGGCUGGGUGGGCUUUGAGCAAGCUGGUCUAGAGGGAGGAGUCCCUGCCUUUAGCAGGGGGGUUGGAACUAGAUGAUCUUAAAGGUUCCCUCUAACCCAAACCAUUCUGUGAUUCUGUGAUUUUCCAACAGACAAAUUUGUUGAUGAGUGUUAGCAUUGCAGCUGCCAGGUAAUAAUCAGUUGAUAACCCAAUGAAUACAAAAUUGCUAAAUAGGAAAUACUAUGUAGAAAUCACAGGUGUUCUUGUAUUCAAUCUUACUUUCAUGUUUUUAGAAUUGCAGUACCUAUUCUGAAGCACAGUCCUUGAUUCUGAGUGGAUUCCGAGUUUUACACCUAGAUUUAGCUCUUCUGAAAAGUCAAAGAAUAUUUUUUUUUGAUACACUCAAAAUGUGCAGUUCACAUAGAAAAUCACAAUUUGAAGAGUGACUGUUAUCAAGAUGUGCUCAAAACCAGUUGGCAUUCCUAAGAACGAUGGAGCAAAGUGGAAAUGUGCUGCAAAGGGAGAGGACGCAAGCAGAAGUACUUCAAACAGUAAGUAAGACCCAGACUGGAGUACAGUGCUGCAAGAAUUAAGUGUGCUUACUGUUUCUUUGAAGUCUAAAUUAUUGUUACUAUUGUGUUACUUAAAGCCUCUUAAUAUUUAAAAUGUACUUGUUCUAAAGAAGCAUUUCAGAGCUUCCUGUGUUGCUGGCUGCUUCAUGUAAACAUUCUAGAUCUGCUGUAUGGACAAUUUCGGUUUGCAAUUAUAAUUGUAUGACAGAAACACAUAUCAUUGGAUUAUGAAUUAAAAUUGCAUUAAAAAUUAAAAAGUUGAAAGGGCGGUAUCUACUGCCUAAGAAACCACAAAACAGCAAAGCAGUGAUUAAAACAACGAUUGAUCAUGUGUAACUCUGAAAAUCUAAUUCCGAAAGAUUUUUUUUAAAAAGCAAUGAGCACACAGUCAGUGGAAUUCGUUCUCUGGCAGCUCAGAGUGAUUUCUAGUGAUCAGUCACAACGAUGGAAGCCUACCCAGAGAACCUACUGCCAGUAUUCUUCCCAAACUUGUAUACAGUAGUUUACCUACUAACUGCAGAGAACACUGUGAAGUUGUGUCAAGCUAUACCAAUGCUCUGUUUUCUACUACCCUUUUUCAUAUUCUAUUUUAGUUUAAUUUCAAGAUACUCAGUAAACAAAUGUCUCUAUGUCAUCUCUCACAUUUCACUGAAGCUAUAAAUUAACUCUCAAGCUAAAUGUAAGGAUGUAACAGGGAAUUUUCCAAAGUUUGUUUGUUUUAACAAUGAAACUACUUAAGCAAAGAAUUCCUUGAUUAAAGAUUCUUUGCAUUUUUGUUUAGGCAAGUGUUGGGGAUUCCUAUUUGGGGGAUCCUUUAAGAAUACUCUGCUGGUUAAGCAUCUUUCUGCACAGAAAUGCAGAGAAGCACCUUCUGAAUAUUAGCUGUGGACUGCAUUACUUUCACUAGUUCUGAUUAAUGUGCUAUUGCAUCCUGGUAAGAUUUAUGAACUGUGGAGGAUAUGUGAAUGCUGUCUCUUCAUGUCAAAGAAAGAGUGUGAAGAAUUUAAAUAAACAUAGCAUUUAGAUGGUCUGCUUUUGUCAGAUCCUGACUAUGUCUGACUUUCUAAAGCCUGCUUCUGUUUGCAUGGUUUAAAGUGUCUUUGGAGCUUGCAAUUUCUAGACACUAGUUAUAUUAGCCAAGAGCAACCAAGCUAUUGUUUCAACAAGCAAUGAAAUCUUAUGCUAAACGAGCUGGCUAUAUUUGCAUCAGCUGUCAGAUAAUGGCAUAAGGUUUUAUGGAUGUUUUUAAAAGACAUACUUCUUGUAGUCUCAAGAGAGUUGCUGUAAAACAUGAGCAAAGCAGGAAAAAAAAGGUUGAGAAAAAGGUUGAAAAGAAAUAAGGAAAAUAGCUGUAUCCAUGUCUCUUAUUUUGUAAUGAAAAUGUUAAUGGUUAUAAAUAAAUUAUGGAUUUGAUAUUACUUCCAAGAUUGCUUUCAAUUUGGAAAUUCUGGAUUAAACUUUUUUACUUUUUGCUGGUGGUGGUGGAGUUUGCCCUUUAAGUUAUCUACACUGCUGUCUCCAGUAAUUACAGUCAAAACUACUCUUAACCACAGAAAACAAAGUUCAUUCAAUGGCAAGGAAUGAUUCUAAUAAUUGUUUUUAAUGGUUUUAGGUGACAGAAUGUUAUAUUUCUACUGGUUUUGAAUUAAUACAAAUAAUAAUGUGCUAUUAAUUAGAAGCAACCCAUAAGAAUCCCUAAUUAAAUAUGGAAUUUGAUUUUUAUUACUACUAUUAAAAAACGCCUGCUUUCCGUUGCUUUCUUGUUCAAUCUGGUACCAUAAUCUUUUCAUUUAGACCUACCUUAUGUUAUGAAGGCUUUACGCUAAAUCAACUUACGUGCGAUUAUGAAAUGAAAGAUGCUUCCUUUUACAAAUCAUUGUAAAAAAUAGAGCAAUAAGAAAAAAAAGUGCUUAUUUCUGUAAUAAUUAUAAAUUAUUCUAUGAGUUGAAAGCCACUGGAUAUUGAGGAUAUUUUGAUAGUCUUAAAAAAAAUUAUUCAGCUUUUUGUUAAUUUUGUGGAAAUUCUUAUGUCAAUGGGAUUACAGUUGUCCAACUAGCUUUGCACAGUUUUAAAGGUCAAAUUGGACGAGGCUUUGAGUAUCAUGGUAUAGUGGGAGAUUUCCUUUCUCAUGGUAGGGUGGUUAGAAUAAUACAAUCUUCUAAGGUCCCUUCCAACCCAAACCAUUAAAUGAUUCUACGAUUCUAUGAGUUCUAGGCAUGUUUGACAGAAUGGAAUAAUUCCUGUUGUCUUUUCUGUGAUGUGUUUAACAAAAACUUAUAUGUCACUUGUAUCAUAUGUAUGAGUGGUACCUGCUGGUUCAGAAGUAGAUAAAAACUGUUAUUCUUGAUAAAAAUUGAUAAACCUGAGUUAUUGCACUCAACACAAACUUGCUAUAUGUUAAUUUUCUCUAAUCAACGGUGCAUUAAUAAUCCUCAAAAGCCUUCAUUGAAAGCGUGGCUCUUUUUUUAUUAUUUAAAAAAAAAAAAGAUAGUGUUGAGAGGAAGGAUGCAGAAUUCUCAGUAGCUUCAGCAGAGCUGGGUAUUUAGGCAGAGUGAGCAGUCCAGUCUCUGGUCGUGCUCACACUGUUGGGACCAGCUCUGGAGUAGUGGAAUCCAAAAUAGUUCUGCCAAAAAGAGGGCGGUUUCCUCUCCUGUCUGUCUCGUAUUAUGUUCUCAUUUUGUCUGUGAAUCACCAGAGAUCCUUUGUGAUGCAUUUGUGGUGUAUUUAUAUAUCCAGCACUCACCUGUUAAACAAAAGGUGAUAUACAAGGUGCUGCUCAAUCUGAUAGCUGUUACUACACCAUAACCAGAAGAGAUUACUUGCAAGUUUAUUUCAGAUAUACCCAGGCCUGCCAUGAAAUACUAUAUUUGCAUGUUUCAUGCAUGGACUGCAGAAUAGUGGCAAACAGUAGCAUGAGCUAAAAGAAUGCUGGCUUUUGCGUAAGUCUUUUGUUCAAGUAUUGGAUUUCCACCUGGCUGCUCUUAACAGGUUUGUGAUCAAGUGAAUCCACAUACAGAAUUGGUUAGGCUUCUAUUCAAAAUGUACAGAGUAUCCAGAAAGACUCAUUUAAACCGUGAUGGCAAACCUGCACAAGGAGAAAUUUGCCUGUCAGGCUGGGGCCAGUGACUGUGCUCAGUACUAAAACCUGCAGGUUGUUUUUCUUUGAGGAAACACUUGCCAGACUAAUGAGAAAAAAAAUCCGCAUUUCUCCUUCAAAUGCUUCUUCUGUGAUGCCAUGAGAUGCAUCUAUGGAAGCAAACAAUGAAAUGAAUCAAAACUAUGUCAUUCUGUAUUUUAGAAACUAUCUCACAGAAGUAAGGACAGAUCUUGCCCUUAAUAAGUAAAUCAGUUUGAAGAACAAGACUCUGUGGUGGACUUCCCAAACCCCACAGCCAAAAUAACAACUGCUGAAAAUACUACUUCAGAGAGCUCUCACAGAAUGUCUAUAAAGACGCUUACAUAACUCUAAUGAUUCAAAAGACAGCCAGAACAUGAAUGUUAUAUGACAGGGAUCGUAACUCUGACCUUGUGUGGUGACGUAUGAGACAAAGUUUUGAACAGUUUCUGAAUUUUGAACUCUGAAAAAUCCUCACUUAUAUUAAAUAUUGGAACCAUUGUGGCAGAGUGAGGGAAAAAAGGUAUAUUGUUCUUUCGUGAAUAUGUAAUUGUAAUAAUCUAUCAGAGUUAACAGAUAUUCCAAAAAUUAUAAUGAAAGACAACUGCAGCAUACUCGCUGUAGCGCCUUGCAUUCAGGAUUUCCUAAGUCACUGACAGAGGUUCUCCCAUUCAGGUUUAGAUGGUAAAACUUAAUCGAAAGUGCCUCUCUCCUCUGAGGUGAUGCGAUCUUCCAACCAAAACUACACAAUAGUGUUUUAUUUGUCAAAUGUUCAAAAGGAAGGGAAAAAGCACUUACAAUAUUAAGGCAAAUACUAGGUGGUUUUUUAUUUUUUCUCUAGGAGAAUUCUAAGUGGUGCCAGACUUCAACACAGCUGUUAAUCAGCUGUGCAUUUAAUCCUGGGCAUUGCAUGAAAAGCCUGCGAGUGAGCAGAUUUGGAAGAAAAGUCUUUUAUGGAAACAUAUUACCAUGUGUUAAUAUGAUGUUAAUAUGGUAGAAUCUUAGAAUCAUAGAAUGGCUUGGGUUGGAAGGGACCCCAAGAAUCAUCAAGUUCCAACCCCUGCCACAGGUAGCACCGCCAACCUCCAGAUCUGGCACUACACCAGGCUGCCCAGGGCCCCAUCCAGCCUGGCCUUCCUCGAACAUCUCCAGGGACAGAGCGUCCCCAGUCUCUCUGAGCAGCCUGUUCCAGCACCUCACCUUCUGUGUAAAGACUUUCCCCAAUAUCCAAUCUAAACCUUCCCUCCUUGAGCUUAAAACCAUUCCCCCUUGGCCUACCACUGUCUAUCUGUGUAAAAAGUUGAUUCCUCUCUUGUUUACAAUCCCCUUUUAAAUACUGUAAGGCUGCAAUGAGGUCUUCUCGCUUCCUUCUCUUCUCCAGGCUGGGCUUGUUCUGCCCAGCCCAACUCCCUCAGCCUGUCUUUGUAGCAGAGCUGCUCCAGCCCUCUGCUCAUCUCAGUGCCCUCCUCUGGACCCUCUCCAACAGCUCCACUUCCUGUGCUGAGGGCCCCAGACCUGGAUGCAGUGCUGCAGAUGGGGCCUCAUGAGGGCAGAGUAGAGGGGGACGAUCGCAUCCCUGUCCCUGCUGGCCACCCCUCUCCUGAUGGAGCCCAGGAUACCAUUUCCUUUCUGAACUGUAAGUGCACGCUGCUUGCUCAUGUUAAGUUUUUCAUCCACCAGGACCCCCAGGUCCUUCUCUGCAGGGCUGCUCUCAAGGGGUUCUUCUCCCAGUCUGUGUAUAUACCUGGGUUUACUCCAACCCAAAUGCAAAACCUUGCACUUUGUUAUGUAGAACCUCAUUAGGUUCACAUGGGCCCACUUUCUGAGUUUGUCGAGGUUCUUCUGGAUGGCAAUAUAAUAUAGUUUCUGAUAAUAUCUUAGCAUUUUUUAGUUUGGUUUGUUUUUUAAUCAAAAUUAUAUUUUAAAUCCACUCCACUUGAAUAUAUUUCUUUAUAUCCUCAUGCAUACAAAGGGUAUGUUACUUCAACCUCAGGAAGACCUAAUGUUUCCGCCAGGACUGGAGAGAAGGCGCUAUUUUCAGUCUUUGUAUUUGGGUGAAUUUUAUCAUGAAAUAACGCUUAAAAUUUUAUAGUGUAGCUGGGCUGUAUAUUCAGUGUUCAGACUUCAAGCUAUAGUAAGUUCAUGACAAUAGCUUAUCUUCUGUAUUAACGUUUACAAAGAGAGACAGUCUCUCAACAUACCUGUAUCCCAGUAGCAAUGACCUAUCUGAUGCCCUCUGCCAUUCGUAGGAAUGGGCAUUAGAAAUUACCUUCUGUCACGAAGUAGACACAGAUGAAAUCAAUUAAUUACUGCUUGCCUGCUUUGACAGUGAUCAUCAACACAAUGUAGCUAUGCAAUACUAAUCUCUAGAAACCAUCUGGAACCAUUAAGACAAACUAUAUCUCCUUGCCCAAGGGAGGCAAAAGUUUUGGAAGCCUUUGAGACCCACAGCCUUUCUCAGAGUUGCAUACUGUCACCAACUGACCAAAAAAAGGCAAAAGCCAGAAUGAGGUCUCCAGCAGAACUUUCACCACUUAUCCACAUUAUGACGAGCAUAAUGGGAUUUUGUGGCAGAGUGUCACUAUUUAACUUAGUUGUAGAUGAAAACAAACAAUGAUUUUGAAAGUAAUAACAACUCCAGGAUCAGCAGAAGAAACAAAGAGCUGGCUAAAACCUAGGUGGACAUAAGAGAACCAAAAAUGUGUUGAAGAUCACCAGAUGGUGAUCUGUGAAAGCUGUUUGUUUUAACUCCAGCUUUGACUUGUAGAUGUGAUUUAGUAUUACAUUUUCUGAUUAAAUCUCAGAGUUUCUUAGGAUCCAAAUUGGAUUUCAUAUGGCAGAGACUGUAGCCAUGAUCCAUCCCAUCUAAAUCCUGGCAUCCAGGUCUCUCCAAAUGAGAAGAAUGCAUGUCUAUUCAAGUCUACUCAGAAUUCCAGUCUUACUGCACUGCUUUGAAGGGUUUUAGCUUAUAGUAGCCCAGUUUUAAUUUUUUCCUUCCUCUCAUGUGUUCCCAUCACGAUAACUUACCUUCUCUAAAUUCACACCUCUGUGUCAGGAGAGCUUGAAAUAAAGUGGCAACAUGAUAAUUUAGUACCUGUCUCAACAUCCUAGUUUUGAUUUCUCCAGGUCCUGUGUCACUGGUAUGGAAAUGCCUAGGCUUAGGUCAGUAACUGCACAGUGUACUCUGUAUCAGUGUAUUGAUACAAAAACUAAUGAAGUUUUUCUUCACAGUACGGCUUUUGUAUCUCUUUCAAACACUGUAACAUGAGAUCUAGCAGUAUUUUAUACUAUAGUAUUUUUAAGGCAUUUUUUCAUGUACAGAGCUUAGAAUUGGAGUAGUUUAUGGGAUCUACCUCAAGAGCAUGCAAAAGUGCAUUAGGAUAACUUCUCAGCAAAGAGUUUAAACCACCAGCUCCUUCUGGAUUUACAUAUCUGCACCAUGCAUGUUAGGCCCUGAUGCACGGACAACAAACUUGAUGGCCCUUCUUAAAACUGGGAAAAUCUAAAGGAAGAUUUGUUUUUACCUGAAAAACUUAAUACAAGAGACCUGGAAACUGUAUUGUCAUCUUAACAAUGACCUUCUGCUUAAAAAGAGUAUAUUUUGUUACGGAUCCUCAUUUCCUUGGCUGCUUCUACAAUAUCACUCUCUUGAAACAGGAAUGUUCUGUCUCUCAGAAGAGAUGUACGACCUGUUUUAUUCUGCAAAAUCGGAUGAGUCUUUCUUAGCUAAAGAUUUCUUGUUUAAGUCUACAUUGAAUUGAGUGCUUUGAACACACAGAUAACAUGAAGUAUGUGUUCAAGUCAGGCCAUUGGGACCAAAGCAACCAUGGAAAACUUAAAACUCCAGUUACUGUGUUUGAAAUACGCAGCCCUGAAAAAGGGGAAAGACCUCUCCAUAUUUGUCUUUGAGAAUUAUAAACAGCAACAGAGAUGUAACAAAAGCAAGUGAACCCUUAUGAACCCUAUUUAGCUGAUUCAUCUUUUCCUGGAAGCAGAUACAUGUGGCUUUAUGAGAUACAGUUGUGGCUGCUUGGUAGUGGGCUAAUGCUCGGUGUGCACUGUUAUUGCUGGUUUUUAUUAUUUGAAUAAAUAUGUGAAAAAGAGUAAGACCAUUUAGAAAGGGAUUGGAAAAUACAGAAAAUCAUACAGGGGAAGGUAAAAUCUCCCACCUCAGGCUUAGUUUUCAUUUAUUUCAUUGUAAGUGUGGUGUCAUUUAAAAAAAAAUAAAAAGCUUGAUAUUUUAUCUAAAAGUAUUUAAAAGAGAAGGAGUGUGUGUAAACCAGGAACUUGCCAUAACAGAUGAUGCGCAUGGAGUGCCUAGCUUCUGGCUGGAACUGGUCCACAGCUGGCAAGUUCACACUGCCAGUAGUGAAGAUCUUCAGCUCCUUCUAAACCUGCCUUUAGGAAUUACUCAUGCACACACCUUAUGAUGAUUAGUAUAAGCAAAAGCUCUUACAGUACCUACUUGUCUUUCUCACACUGAAUCUGAGCUCAAUGGGACUUCUGCCCGAAUGAGGUAAGGCUGCUCUGACAGAUUAAGAACAGGUACUGGCUGCCACCUCUUUUUAAAUUGCAAGUUCAUCUCUUUGAUGUUUGUAAGUUCAAAGAAAAUGUUGCAGGGGAUGGAAGUCAGGAAAGAGAGAAUAUCAUUCAUUUCAGGACCCAGUUGGUUUUCAGACUGCUUCUUGCUCUUACCCUACUACCCACACGAUUCUUCUCUCUUCUUUAUGUAUUAUCAUUAAACCUGUAUUGGUUUAAAGGUCUUAGAUGGAAAAUGUAUUUUUAUCUCUUAAACUGGACUCCUAAUUUGGAGCUGAUGUUAUCCUGUGUUUCCAUGUAAUUGAUUAAUGAGUAUCAAAAUUCCUUUUCUUUUAAUCAAGAUAUGUAGAGGCAAUUACUGUCUUUAAAGACAUAACAGUAGCGAACUGUUUGCUCAUAAUUACAGUUAUGUUUGUCAGAAUCUGAAAGGAAAUGGUAUACAGCCUCUGCUGUCUUUGCUGUUAAAGCUAUUACUUCAAGUUUGUAAUAUUCUAUAUAUUUCUUUGAGAACUCUCUAAAUUUCUUUGAAAAAAAAAGAUAUUUAAGGCUGAUAAGACUUCAAACUGCUUGCAAAUCUAAUGCAGCAUUGGAUUAUCUCUUUUGUCUCUGUUUUGCUGAUUGGAAAGAAUUGUUUUUCCCCUAAUGUCAUGGAGAGAUCUGCAAAACUGCCUGAACAAAUGAACCAGUAACCUCAACCUGUAUGUUUACAAGAAAACAAUAUGAAAAGAAAAAUUACUGUGUGUGCAUGCAGAAACAUAGGAAAAGAAAGAUUUUUUUUGCCGGUUACUGUUUGUGACAUUUUUGAAUCACUAAUACUCAGAGACCAAAAGGAAAAAUGUUGCCUCACAAAUAAAAGCAAUUUAAAUGCCAAAUCCUAAUUGGAAAAAAACUGUGCCCUCCAGAAUGGAUGGCUGACCUUUGUAGAAGCCAUGGUGCAGUAAAUGGACAGGAGGAGAGCAGGAACUGGAGCAGGUUGGAGGAAACAUGCUUAACACAGUCGCGAUGUCUCUGUGAUUUCCUGUGAUUGCCAGCCCCAGAGGGUAGUGGAAGCCAUGUAAUUCCCUUGUGCUGGUAGAGUAAUGUAGCAGCACGAGCUGCUCCAAAAUGGGAGAUGAAUGAUGUGCUGUCUCCAAGUGUGAAUGUUUCAGAUUCUCAAACAGUAAUAGUAAAUUAAAUGGAGCAUCUGUCUAAGCUGCAGCAUAGCACACAGAAAACAGCUGUGUGGCUGUGUGCCCUGCCAUACUAUUUGAUAUCAAGCCAGCUUACUAGCGUAGCCAUAGGUUUACGGGACUUGUCAGCACUUACAAAUCUUGACUUCCUUAGUUGCUGGUUUUGUCUGCAUUGGCCUGCCUCACUUUCUCUACCAUUUCAAGCCACACUGGAGUUCUGUUUCUCAGUUACUGGAUCAUAAAAUGUGUUUUAGAAACUUGAACCUCAGUUCUGUUGAUCUCUUUGUGAGAAGUUAUGCUACACGUUGCAGGCAGUUCUGCAUUGCAGGUAGGGUGAUGCUUGCUGCUCCAAGGUUUGUCCAGGGAGAGUACAAAGAGCACAAUAUAACUGGGACAUAACUUCAAGUCUUAAAGUCCUAGAGAGCAAGGACUGAAGCCUUUAUUCAAUGCCCAGGAGCAUCAUAAAAGAAAAGUUUAUUCCUAAGCCAAAAAAUGGGCUGCAAGUGUAAGGGCUAAAGCACAGAGAGCAUCUUCUGUGUGCACCAAGAAGUCCCAUGGCUUGAGUCAGAACCUACCACAGGGAAAGUCACAGGCAGAGCUCUAUGCCUAUAGCUUUAUGUGUUGAUAAGAAGAGAAAAUGCCAGGGCCUAUCACUUCUGUUAAUUUAGGAGGGAAGUAAAACAAGUACUAUUUCUAGAAUCACUACAGUAAUGUAGGAAAUCUGUCUUUUAAAUUGACUGAAGUGUAGCCACUCAAUAUUGUGCAAGAGCAAUUAUGUGCUUUCAUAAAUCUGUUACAAAUUGAUUACUCCUAAUUUAAUUUUUUAAUUAAAUUAUUUAUGCUUUUUAUUCAGUAUUGAAAGAAGAAAGCUGAAAAAUAGGUUAUAUUAAAGAAUUCAAUUAAAAUCAGCCGAGUGUGUAGUUCGGAAGAUUCUUGCUCUUGUUCUGGAGAAGUGGGAAUUUAGUUGUUCUAAUUGACAAAUCCAAGAACUUUCCUAAAUCUACAUAAAGCUGUUUUCAUUUAUUGUCUAUGAAAAUAAACUUGCAUUGAUUCUUUGGUCUGAAAGCAGCAGAUUAAUAUUUCAUAUUAUAUAGUUUAUAUAUACCAUAAUUUGGACUGAGAGACUUUAAUCAGUCUGCUUCAAAUCAUGUUCUAGCAUGUCUCAAAUUGAAUUGAAUUUGCUUUUCUUUUCAAUGCUAAUAUGAAAAAAUAGUUACAUUUGCUGAACAAUACAUCUGAGUCCACCAGUCAUGGGCACACUUUAUAAAAGGCAGAAAAUCUGUGGGUGGGCACUUUAUUUUCUUUUUAAUCUGCUAUGCUCAUUUCCUCCCAAAGGCAUGCACACAGUAAGAGCAGUGCCCAAAGGGCAGAUGAAACUUCACUUUUACCAGCAGAUCUGGCUUGCAAUCCCACCUGAGUUAUCUUCAGCUGAACUUUGAAAAGCUGCAGUAGUCAGUUUACCAACUCAUGCUGUUGGGUGAUAACAUAAUGCUGUACCUAUUAGAUUCAGAAGGAGAUACUAGCAGACCUUGUAGUGCUAAAUAGCAGUGCAUAUAUAAAAGUGGCUAUAGUCCUAAAAUAUGGAUGAUAGAAGGGUGUUGGAAGCAUUAAACUGAAAGAGGUCAAACCCUAUACCAAUAAUGUUGAUCAAUAUCAAAUUAUGACUGUUCAGUAAGAGCUGAGGUCCCACAAGUUGUGUAUUUGUCUUCCCUUACAAAUAGGCAAAAAGUUGUGAGCCUAAGCAAAGCCCUAAGGGGUAAAUAUUCCAGAUAUAAUGCUUUAGCUAUUGGAGUCAGUGAUGAUGUGCUGUGCCUGAUUAUAGAAAACCACACAGUGAAAGCUGUCUGUAAAUUUUGAAACAUUUAGCUUGAAAUAAUUAACUCAAGUGGGACACUGACUGAAAACUGCAGAGAGCUCACUGCAUAUAUGUUCACAGAAUCACAGAAUCACCAAGGUUGGAAAAGACCUUCAAGACCCAACCAUCCACCCACCACCAACAGUACUCACUAAACCAUGUCCCUCAACACAAAAUCCAGUUCUGUUCCUUGAACACCUCCAGGGUCAGUGACUCCACCACCUCCCUGUGCAGCCCAUUCCAGCGCCUGGCCACUCUUUCAGAGAAGCAGUAUUUCCUAACGUACAGCCUAAAUCUCCCCUGGCGCAGCUUGAAGCCAUUCCCUCUAGUUCUAUCACUGUUACACAAGAGAAGAGGUCGACCCCCAGCUCACUACUACCUCCCUUCAGGCAGUUAUAGAGAGCAAUAAGGUCUCCCCUGAGCCUCCUCCAGGCUGAACAACCCCAGCUCCUUCAGCAGCUCCUCAUAAGGCCUCUGUGUCUGUUAUGAAUAAGGUAAUUAAAUACUUACUAAUUUUACAGUAUGCCAACUGUAUGCAUCUUGCACUGGAAACAUGCCUCCUUCAAUUUUUCUUUUGUAGUGAAUUUCUGUCACAAAUCAUUUCAUUCGGCAUUUAAAGUAUUGCUCAGGAUUAUUUUCACCCUAAGACAAUUAGUUGAACUUGAAAAUAUUUUUCACCUUUAAUCUUUGUAUAACAUUGUACAGAACAUUCAUGUUUCUCAUUUUUGUACUACCAUUCAUUCAAAACAGCAGGUUUAUAUUUGUGAAGACUUUUGUUUAUCUAACUACCAGACAGCUGUACACUCCAGAAGAAAUGUAUGCUUUUGUAUGUUAUGCAACGGGAAGGCUGAUGUGCACCAAAACUGCUUUUCAACUCCUGUACUUUCUCUUCUCUCAAGUUCUUUUUACAGUGUUAUUUUCCAUACCAUCUACCUUUGUUCUCUUGGUCUUCCACCUUUUAAAUUUGAAGCACCCUCGCCCUGAUGUGACCAAUUCACAAACAGCAGUAACUAGAUUCACCUCUGUUGUCAGGUGUUCCUGAUUUAAAAAAAAAUACUUGUAAAUUAUUACAUCUAUGUUGCAUUAAAUAUGCUUGUCACAGGUUGUUUUUUUUCCCUUAACUUGUUUUAAUUGCAGCUUAAACUCAGUUCUGGUGAAAAUUUAACGCUAUAGGGAAGCAGGCUUGAUAUUUUUCAUCAGAUUGCAGUUAAAUUACAUUUUUAUCCAGAAGUAGUAUACUUCUGGAUAAAAUAAUAAUAUAAAUAUAAAAAAUAAAUAUAAAUAUAAAAAAUAAAUUUAUAAUAUAAAUAUAAAAAAUAAAAAUAAAAAAUAAAAUAAUAUGAGUUAUUUCCUUAAAAACAAGGAUUAUGCUGUUUGCAGACCUGAAGAACACAUGAAGAAUCACUUAAGGAGACAUCCAUACAGCACUUCAGCAAACUAAGUAAGCCACACUUGGUUUCUGACUUGCAGAUGCAGAUACUCAUUUGAAAAUGAACUUCUGGGCAUUGAUGCAGACAGACAGCACUACAGAACAGAUGCUGCACAUAGAAAACACAGAAAUAACCUGUUCAACUACAGUAUCGCUUUUAUUUACGUGGUUUUGAAUUUACAUAGAAGAGUCAAUAAUAUGUAGUUAUGCAAAGUUUUUAUGCAAAGUGGAAUGGACAGCAUAAUUCUAGAAAAGUCUUCCUAUGGAGACCACCUGACUUUUCAUUGGGUAUGAAGAAUUCACUUGUACCACUGAGCACAUCUGAAUGAUCGUUCUUUAAAUGCUCAGCAGCUGGACAGUUACAAAGACAGAUACAAAGCUGGACUGCUUUGUAUGUUAACAUCCACCUGGAGAUUUUAGAACUCCUAUACCACUGUUUCCCUGGAGAUGCUGAAAAAUAUUAUCUAAGCAGGAAAAGAGUAAUUUAUUAUAUCAUCCAAGAUUUUCAGAUCUCUGGCAGUCAAGCAGGAGAUGUCACACGGUAAGUCUCAUGAUGCUAAAAUAAAAACAGGGGCAUGCACUGAAGUUGCACCGUGAGUUCAGCAUAUCGUAAGAGCCUCGGACACACUAUGCAGUGUCUCCAUCUCUGCCUUUCACCUGAGAUCUCCAGGAGAACUACCUGCAUGCCUAAAGCACGAUGCGUCAUUCGUCGCAGGGAGCUGGGUGAGUGGAUGCCCUUCAUUUGGACACCAUAUCAUGCAGUGACUUGAAUGAGUUAAACUUCACUGAAAAGCCACCAAAAAAACAAAACUGAGAAGUAGUGAGGGUUAGUCACACUGUGCAGGUGAAGUGCAUGUUACAAUUAUGUGGCCUCCCUGCAAGCACUGAGCCUUGAAGAAGUUCAGCUUUGACCCAUAGUGUGGAGAUAAAGCUCAUUUUGUAUGGGAAGUUAUUUUUGGUCUAGGUUUACAGUGCCACUAUGUGUGUUAUGUAAAAUAGAUGCCUAGGUAAAAAGACUCAAAAUUUCUAGAAGUCCAAAUAUCAGUACUAGUCUGCUGCCAGUCAGUGACUUAAACUUGGAUAACCUCAGAAGGCUCAACAGAAAUACUGUCUCAGAAUUGAACACCAGCAAUUAUUAAGGACAGAAACAAGAUCUGCUCCAUAGCAUGCAAAAUAGUGUAAGUUAUCAGAAAUAUGCUAAUGCUUUUGACAAAUGAAGUUUCAGACUUCCAGCAGUUCAAAAUUAUUAGGAUAAAAAGUCAUCUUUUUACCCUUGCCUCCCAUUCCUGUGAAUGUGAUGGCACUGAAUAUUCAACAUGUUUGUAUCAGAAAAUUAGUGAUUAUGAAAAACAUUAUUGGUCAGCUGGCAUGUAAUUAAUCAAUUAUUUUGUUUUGUUCUACUUUAAAUUGUAAAUGCAAACUCUUGAAAGCAGGUUUUAGGCAAGUAGAUUUGGAUGGAAAAGAUUAUAAACUCAGUUUUUUCCCAAUACUUUUAUUACUGUAUUCUUUUUGAACACUACCUUGUAUUACGUGCACCAUUUUCCUACUGCAGCAAUGACGAGAAAAUAGCACGCAGCUGCUCAUAUAUAUGUUCAUGUGAAUUUUUAAAGUUUUUUUUCCUUUUUCAUUUCUCCCUGUUUCCCCUUCUGCAUAAAUGCCAGUGAAUAAGAUUGUUAGGAUUAGUACUUUUUUUUUUCACUUUGUAUUGUGCUUUAUAGUGGAUAUUGAAUAGAGGUAAGAUAUGCGACACACAUACAACAGCAAAACAAACUUGACGUUUGUAAGUCCAACUGCACAAAAAAUUCUGAAGAUUAUUUGUUAAUUAUUGUCUGCUGAUAGCAGGUGAAACAAAAUGAGGCAAGACCAAGAGUACAAAAGGAAGAUCUGCCUGUAAAGUUGAAUUCCCAGAGCAAACAGGCAGAUCUGUUUUUCAGGUGGAAAGUUGCUGUACAAUUUUUCUAACUUACAGAGAGAUGCUGUUUCAUAAUAUCUAAAAUACAUAAGUCGCAUUCCGCUCUUGGCUUUUGGGAUAGGAAAUAUACAAUUACAGCAUGCAGUUUAGCAAGCCUGCAUCAUAGGCUUUGCAGGAUUGAUAGUGGCCGGCCCAAAUUAGAGAAAUCCACACCAAGCUCUGCUUUACAUCACAGAAACCAAUACGGAGCUCCCUCCUCCAGAGCAGAAGUCUAAAGAGCUGACAGUCACCUUUACCCUGCUGUCUGUCACAGUGAGGCUGUGGACCAUAUUCCUUUGCAGAACCAUUACCAGUAGUGCCUUGCCUGGUGCUCACAGGACAUUUCAUUUCAAAUUAAGCAGCAUAGAUUUUAAUGUUCAACUUCAAAGGUGUUUGUAGAUAUAAACAUUAAUACAUUCAUUAAUGGAAAUCUUAGUAUAGUACAAACACAAUUAGGUUAAAGCCAGUUUAUGUUUAAUGACAUAGCAGUUAUCGAAGCUCAAUUACUCUAAUUAGAAUUUUAUUCAGUUAAGGCAAAGAAAGUGUUUGCUCAGCACUCUAUUGGAUGAGUCCCAAAGACAAACGGUGGUGUAAGUUGUGUUUAGUAACUGAGUUUCUUAUUUGUACUUCCUCAGAAAAGAAAUGAAAUGCUAUUUAUCUGCCUUUAAUGAAGUACCUCAAUAAUUUUUGCACAGUAGCAGCAAAACAACUCCAUUAUAGCAGUUUGUGAAAUUAACUGACUUGUGGCUAUCUCUUGAACUUGGUGAUGUGCUUCUUCCAUCCCUCUUCAGUCUUUGAGAUGUUUCUUACUACAAACUGACUUAUAGUUUAUUCCCAUACUUGAAACCACAGACUUGUAGUGCCAGAGUUUCUGUUGAAAACUUAGUAUUUUUGUAGCAAUUUAUUCAGUGUCAGACUUUUUUUUUAAUACUGAAUGCAAGAGGGUACCAUUUAUUGUAGUAAAAUUCAUGAUCAGCCUUGCCACGGUCCUUGGUGAGGUUAUGGAGCAAAUCUCUGUAAAAGCCAUUUCUGAGCACAUGAAAGACAAGAAAGUGAUUGUGAGCAGCCAGCAGGAAUUUAAAAUGGACACAUGAUGCCUGACCAGCCUCACUGCUCUCUUGGAUGUACUGUGCUGUAGAAAAGAGAGAGACAAUGGAUGUUGUAUACUUUGAUUUUUAGAACAGCCUUUGGCCCAGUCUGCCAUAGUCUCCUCAUCACCAAAUUAGUAAGCAGAUAAGGUGGGCGAAUGUCAUGAACAAUUGCCUGAACUGCCCAUGGUAUGAAGCACACUUGCUGCAAGUUUCUGACCCAUACUGGGCUGAAGAGAAUGUUCAUCGUGCUGGAGGGCAUGGCUGCUACUCGGGGCACCUUGGGCAGGCUGAGAAAAUGGGCUGAGCAGAACUUCAUGAAGUACUACAAGAGAAAGUGAGAGUUCACACAUACACAAAGGGCUCCCAUGCAUCAGUGCAAGCAGUAAGCAUGCUGAUAUGCAGAAAAGUGGUUAAAUAGUCCAGCAGGUUUCCCAGUGGGGUUACAGAAUUCACUGAGCUAAUCAAGACUUAGUUGGAUGUGGCCCUGCACAACCUCAUCUAUUUAGACAUAGUUAGAGCACAGGUUUGGAAUGGACAUCCUCUGAACUUCCCUUACAUCCUAGAUUUUGAUUCUCAUAUUAUUUAAUAUGUAGUGCACUGUGUGUGCAUGAAGACUUUGAAGAAUACAGCAUUUUUUAAAGUUGUAUUAACUUAGGUAAUUAUUAUGCACAAUUAUUAUGCAAGAUAGCUACUGCACUGUCAUUUUACCAUUUUUCUAUGAAUUAGAAAAUUCUUUUGAAAGGGAUUGUUUUGUUGACUUCAGCUCCAGACUAGAAUUUCUGUUUCUCACUGAAAUACGGAUCAGUGUGUUUCUGUGCCCUUUCUAGGCGACACAGCGACACACAAACAUUACAGUUUCACAAACAACACAAACAGAACAGUUGUGGGUUUUUUUUCCCUUGUGAAAGGAUAAGGAUUUAAAGUUAAUUACAGUUGGCAAACAGAAGUCCUGUGGAAUCUUCUGGCAGCCAGGGUUACAGAUUCAUGGAAAUGUGCUAACCACACACCUACUUUCUCAUUUCCAGCUGCAGUAGCACAGCCACUUAGAGCACUGGGACAGUAUGUGACACUGUGGCCACAGUACCCACAUAUUCAAGGAAGAAAUAAUAAAAGACUUUAAAUUACUAAACCACGAGAAAGGUGGAACCAAGGAAAUCAGUUAUAAAACUUUACGAAUUGAGUCAAGCUUUCUGACUUUUUCCUCUAAGUCAUUAGGUCAUCUGUCUGUCUUAUAUGGCACCUACUGUACAAAACUCUUAAACUCUUACAUGACACGUAAAGAUCUCGGUCUGUUCAGCUAGCUGAUGUGACUGGAUUGCACUGCUGUGUAUUUUAUCAGUAGUAUUUUCUGCAGCAAGGACAAUCCGUGGAAAAGAGAGAGUUGGAGAUGGAUUGUCUUUAGUAAGAAGAACAUCAAGAACACCUAAAAUGAUAAAGCCUUGUAUUCACAGUCCAUGCAUACACUUCUGGGAAGAAUUCUAGCUUUUCAAAAGGGAGUGCAGAAGCAUAGUGUAAGUGAUUAGCUAUCUGUAAUGCCUUUUUCCUAUUUUUCUUCUUUUAGUCUCAGCAAUCUCUAGUACUCUAGCAUGGUGACACUGUCCUGGCACACCCCAGAAAGCAUGCUUUCUUAGUCCUACAUCGGGACAAUUUUGUCAUGGAUUAGACUGUCUUUAAAAGCAUUUCAAUGUCAGGCUGGUCCUGACAGACAAAUUAUGAUGUAAUUUUCAAGUGCCAUACCCUUACUCUACUCUACAGUUUGAAAAUUCUCAUACAAAACGGCAUGUUGAGAUCAUGGGAGGUAACUUCCCUGGAAUCUAAUUAAAGUCAUCUUUGAAUCCUAAGUGGGAUUUACAUGUAUUUAUGUAUACACAUAUUAUAGAACAAUAUUUAGUGAUCUACUUUUCUGUAGAGCUAGUACAAAUAGUAACAUCAAGUAACCACGUAUAUAUAAAAAGCAUUGAGUAUUCAAGAACUUUUCAAGGCAAGGAGUUUUUGAUUCUGAAGGAUGAGUAUACUUGACUUCAUUUCAAGGUCAUUGAGCAUAUUCCUAUUUCCAAUCUUAUUGUCAGUGUUGGUGGCAAAAGAUCUGAAUUGCAGGUUUAUAACUCCGUUUAUAAUGCAGCAGGUUUAUAAUUCCGUUUUUGUCAUAGUGCUUCAUCUUGUAGCCUGACAAUGUGCAGAACAAAGAAGGAGGUCUUCAGCUCUCCAGGUUGAAUUAGUCUGGUUCCUGGCAUAAAUUAUGAAUGGCUUACUGGGCUUUUUCUAAUCCAUCAGAUGAUUCUAUUUAACGUUCUGCAGUAAAUCUUUCCAAUUAAUUAAAAUCUAUAUCCUUUUGAAAUUUGCUAUUAGAACAGCUGCACGGAAAGAAGGUACUCUCACGCUGGUGUGUUCCAUGGCGACAGUGGUGAUGCUAUGAAUGGUGUUAUAAUAGAAGUUCAGAAGUUACAUACGUCUAUAAAAGUGUCAUUAGAAAUGUUUGACAGAAAAAAAGAAAAAAAAGAAAAAAAAGGACAGAAAAAGGGAAACGGAGCAUUUUGUUUUUAUUCAGAUAGAAUUGUUAUGGAAAAGCUGGAUAUAUAUGCUUUGCGGAGUGUGGUCAUUGCAACUGCUCCGUUCAUUUGAGGGUUGCCUGGCUGCUGAAAGAAAAAAAGGGAGGAAAAAAAAGACAAAGAAACAGAUGCACACCUUUAAAGGACUGUGUUUGCAUCUUUCAAAAGGAAGCAAUGUAAAAGUUCUUUCUGUCCAGAGGCUCCAUGGCAAGUGGAACAUCUGUUUAUUUUCACUGUGAAAACUUCUGAUGGCAACGUGGCACCCUGGAGAAUAGAUCUCUCUCCCCCUGGCAGGGCUUGCAUUACCAUUGCUGGUACUCUGCCGGUCAUAAAUGAAAAAUGAUUGUGAAAGAAACACCACUUUGUUUCCCAUUCUUCCUUUUAUGCUUUUUGGAACGAUACCUCACUUCUGUUGACAAUUCGAUGGGUUAAUGGUUUUCAGUUAAAAAACACAAGGUUGGUUUGGCUCUCCCAUACCUCCCUCACAGAGCUCCUCAGAGACUCAGGAACACCUUACCACAGGAGACAAUUUAUGCACGUACAAAGAAUUAUUUGUAUCCAAAGAUUUCUAAGACAACAUCAGAAAAUUGAGAAAAUUCCAGCACAAGCCUCACAUUUCUCUUGUUUGUUCCUCACGUUAUUGAGGAAAUAAACUACUUUAUUCAAGGCAUGGAAUUGAAACAGUUAUUUAAAAUUCCUGCAAGGGCAAGCAGGCAUACUAUUUUGUUUGGCUAUGACUGAAAUAGUCAUCAUAUUACUAAAACAGUGAAGGAUUAAAUUUUUAUUACUUUUUUUAAGUUAACAAAACAGAAGAGAUGAACACAAAAUGAACUAGUCAUAUUAAAACCUUUGAUUAGCUCUUCCAGGGUGAAUUUCCUGAUCUACUAUGUCUGUAUACAUAUGUGAAGCACACAGGAUUAGUGUACAAUUAUUUUAUCACUAUGCAUGUUUGUCAGUACACUGAAAUAUGCGAAUGGAUUUCCUUUGUGUACUUCUGAGCAAUUGGGAAAUCAACAAGAAAGAAAAUCAGAGGUCAGCUUGUGUAGUUCUAAUAGUUUUGUUUGUCUUUAUGUAUUUUUGCGUAAAGGGAUGCUCAAAGGAGCUUCAGUGGAUUGUUGUAAUUGUAGCGUGUUGCAGAGGAGAGCAUGGUGUAUGGCAAAUACCAGUCAGGUCUCGGUUCUGAGACAGCUGGAACUAAAUAGGAAAAAGCAACAAAAGUGCAGGAUUUGCUAGAAGACAGUUUGCGCCACACACUAAAUUUUCAUGGCAGAACAGUGUGAGCUAGGUGAUUACGAAGCCUUGUGAGGGCAGGGUGAGCCAGCAGCAGUAGGGCCUGGCAGGUAGAGGCAGUACUGACACCAAUACAGGAGUGAUCCCGGAGCUACUGUUCCCCCCUGAGCCAUCACAGUAUGACACUCUCUUCUUACAUAAGAAAACAAUUUGCACAGCUAAUGAUUCUGUCAUGCCGUUAAUAGAAGAGCAAUAACAAACCUGUGGGUGUGCUACAGAUGGAAGGCAUACUGCCCCCUCAUCAUCCUCUAUGCCACAAAAAGCUUAGUUCUACUUAACUUUGCAGAAAGAGCUGAAGAAGCAUCAGUGGUUCAGAAUAUGGGAAGGAUGACUUUCUUAACAUAAUAUAAACACGGCCUUACACCAAAAGUUUUGCAUUCUAGCUUAAUUGCUCUCUUAAUCUGACCUACUACUGCAUAGUUUGUUUUUAUAGGCAUCACUGGCACCUACUGACUGGGGCACUUGCACCCAUAUGAAACAGCAGAAGUUCCCAUAUGAACUGUUGGCCAUGCGACACAUUUACUUAAGGAGGAGCUCUGGGCAGAUAUGUAGAAGUUUUGGGAGGAGACAUUCCUCCUGUGGCUUGUGUUAACUAUUGCCAUACAUGCCAUUGAAUAGGACUACUUGCUUUCAUCGUACUUCCCCCCAGUAUCUUUGCCAUUUCUCAGAGUGGCAAUUGUCCUGAGCUUUCCAGAAUCUAUAGGUCACGGGUAAAACAGCAUGUUCUCUGCAAAUGUUAAUGAGUUUACAAACUGCUGAGUAUUAUAAUGAUGAUCAUCUUUCUCUACUGACUACACACGGUUUUGGCACUGCAAUCUUUUUAGCUUUUAUCUAUUCUCAAAGGGCCCAAUCUCUAGUUGACUGAAGUCAAGGAAAACAGAUGUAUCAAGAAUAGCAGCUUUCAAUCAAGCUAGAGACAGUCAGUGCCCACUACUAAAACCAUUCCUACAGUAUGUAUUUACAGCAAUAAGAGCAGGGAUUAUGCACACGUCCCUCAAUCCAACUAUGUUAAAAAUGCUUUCCAUCCUGAAAGUGUGGAGGGUAAAAAAAUAAAUCCUGAAUUAGAUCAGUAAUAUCAGAUGCACAAAGGGAUCACAUGUAGACACUAGAAGGAGGAUUGGAAGACAGAAAAAAGAUAGACUAGAACAGAUCCAGAGAGAGAAAAUACUAGAGUCAGAUACUGUCUCAUGAAAAAGAACACAAAUACCACUUGCAGUUGUCUUACAUGAAAAGAGCCUUUCUAAUUAAGAAUUAUUUUAAAUUGUAUUGUUUUACUGAAGUAUUAAAAAUAGCAAUUGAAAAAGAUUGCUACUACCUUUGUUGACUCGUAAAUCUGUAGCACUUCCCACAGCAUUUAGAGCUUGUUAUUACAGGCUGACCAUAACUAAAGGAAAAUCUGGGGAGUCUUUUGUUUACAUCCUGGUUUACAGCCUAUUUUCUUUAGUCAGAAUGUGCUGUGCAGCAGCCUGAAGGAAUGCCAGCCAUCAUGGCUCCUCAUGUGUUCCAGGACUACCUGGGGUUGCUAUUACGAGAACAACUAUGACAACUUUCUGCUCUUGUUGUUCAAGGACUGCAAUCUCCGGUGCUCACUUCAGUUCCCAAAAAAUAUUGUGCAGCCUUUCCUAUUAUGGGAACUUCUGGUCACUUACACCAAACUCCUGGCCCUCCUCUCACCCCAAGCCUUGCACUUCAGCAGGAAUGGGCCUGACAUUGUUGUCCAUAGUCUGUAUAAGGUGUGCUGCCAUGAGCUGAACCUUCCCUGGUCUAAGCAACUAUGUACCACCAGAAGAACCAUGGAGUACUGGCCCACAAAGGAAGAUGAACCUCAACUGUGAAUCGAUCAUCAAUUUCUUACAUUUUGUCAGUCUACACUGUAAUGGGCAAAUUGUACAAAGCAUUGCAGCAUACAGGAUCACUGCAAUGGAAAGGGCUUACCUUCAACCUGCUCGAUCAUUGGUUCAUAGCAUGAAGGGGUGGAUUUAGUGGAAAUGCUAAGUCAUGGCCUGAGCCAGUAAUAGAGCACCAGGUGGGAAGGCAGGGCCAGCCCAGGGGAGCUCAGGUGCAUGCAAUGCAAUGCACUGAGUGAUGAAAGGGUGGAACCAGGAUCCACCCAUCCCUUCCAGCCCUCAUUUAAGGGUUGGCAGUGAAGGCAAGGGGAUCUCAUUGGAAACUUCUACGUGCUUGAGGCCUACUAAAGGUAUGCAUCUUUUUCUUCCCUCAUUUCUGCAUCCAUAAUUGCUGUAUUUGGACUUGUUCUUUUUUUGCUGUAGCCAAGGCUUGUGAUACUUUCUAUUACUGCUGUACUAUCUACCAUAUUUAAGCAUUACAGCUAUAAUAAAUGGCUCCUAUCUUGGCCAAUAUGGAGCUAAAAUACAUGAUCAGAGCAAGAUUUACUGUUUGUUGUUGGUGGUUUUUUUCUUGGCAUUGGCAAUUGUAAAUAGUUCUUCAGGAGCUAUUUGUAAUUGUGGUUGUGUACAGAGGUUUUAUCAACGUGGCUUUUGAAAUGCAUUAUUUAUGCAAGCAAAAAAAAUCACUGGACAUCUCAAGUUACUGGUAAUAAAACCUGUGCCAUACCAAACUACCACAUGUUCACUAAUUGUCUGUGCUAUGCCAUGUACAUGUGAUGUUUGCUAUAGAUAAGCUAGCAGUAUGUGAGAAUCAUCUUGAUUUCUUUUAAAAAAUUACCUAGAACUGUAUCUUCUAUUUCUUGCCUAUGACUUAUAAAUUAGGGUAACUACUGAAAACUGUAAAGCAUUAAUUUGCUCUCAAGAAACAUGCUAUUAACCUGUAUCAGUUUGUGAAUGCUGUUAAAAGAUCAAAGUUCUAGAAUUAUCAGAAUAGUUCAGGAAAAACAUGGGUGUUGAUUAGUCACGGAGAUAUUCAAGGAAUUAACUGAUGGAAUUUAUGUGUGUAUAUUUGUCUAUAGAAUCAAAAAGUAAAUUGGCUUUACAAGUGUAGUCCUGUCUCUUGUAACUCAGCCUUUACUCUCGCUGCUGAAUUUCAGAUGUGUAGCUAGCAGAGGGGAGAAUCAGGAUUUCCUACUGUAGACUUUUGUCUGCUAAGAAAUAGAUGGAACUGCUAGCUUAUUACAUGAGGCCCACUGAACACGGAGCAAACAACACUCUCUCUCUUUCACACUCACACUGUGAGUUUCCUCAUAUUGUUACUUGAGCUAUUAGCUUCAGAGAAUAGCUUUAGUUGCAUUCACAUGAAAGCAGAAUCUUCAAUAUACACUGUUUCCAUGAGUAUUUUCCCUUUUCCUAUUAGUACUUAGGGAGUAACAGAACUCUCUAGAUUAUCAGCAUAUUUUACAGUUCUGGUUUGUAUUAGUGUAUGAUACCAAAGCAAGUAAAGAUAAAUGAAAUAAGCAUUCAUCAUCCAAAAAAAAAAAAAAAAAAAGUCCCAGAAAUACAACACUCCGUACAGGAGGGUCAGUCAGUAGAAACUGCUGGAUAAAGUUAUAGGACUUCUGCUAUAGAUCAUAGAUCUAUCUGUAAAACUCAUUUACUCAUAACUGUGAAGCCAGUUCAUAAAGAUGCAGCUCUCCUAUGUGCUGCAUUUUAUAGUUUAGAGGUGAUGAAAGAUGGAAGCUGACCACCGUGAGCAUGCUGCUGGUGGAUCACAGUCUUGCCCAUCUACUUUUCCCUUCUCCCACAGUAAGGGAACUUUGGUACGCCGCUGAGUCUAAAUAUGUUACACCCUAAAUAUGUUGUAGCAGUGAGCGAGCUGAGGACGCAGCGGCUCCCAUUGUACCUGACAGUUACUCUUCAGCCUAUCCCAGAAUUCACUCCCCAAAGUAAUAAUUCUACCCAACAUUCAAUUUAGCGUUCUAGUGUUUAAGAGACUUGUAUUUUCAUUCCUUAGGACCAAAUGUGUUCAUAAAUUAAACAUUUGCUAAUGAAUACUCAUCUUUGUUUUUAGCAAGCUUGUCUGCUUAAGAGAAUAGUUUACUGACACCACUAAGAACACUGGCAGGCUCGUUUCUUUCUAGAAUAUUUAAUGCUCAAAGGAUUAGAAAUCUAGUGAUGGAUAAGUUAGGCUGCAGACGUACAAACUAGCCACUGUUGAACUGGUACUAUGCCUGUAUUUAAACAGGGGACCCAGAAGUGAAAAGCUUUAUUUUCCAUUUAAUAGACGCCUUUUGGUUGUUUCUCUUACUAAUGAUUUCUGUAGAUCCUAUAUCCAUACCAGUAAAAGGAGUUCUUUGUUGCACUUGGUUUUUAUGUGACUUUUGAGCUAUCGCUGCCGGGUGUACUCAUUUAUUCAGUAUGAUUUAAUACAGUAGCCUGUCAUUGUAGCCUUUUCUGUAAAUAUUUCAGUACUCUCGUUUAAGUAUGAUGCAUCCUAGAAAGCCAUAUCUCCCAUUCUCUUCCAGAAAGGAGAUCCAAAUUGGUACUGAUCCUUAACUUUUUCAAAGUGUUAUUUUGUGGUGCGUGUUUUGUUUUGUUUUUCUUUUGUGGUUUGUUUGUUUGUUUGUUUGUUUUUUUAGUAACUGGGAAUUGGAGGGGAAGUGGGAAGCGCUCCUCAGUCAGCAGUUCCCAGCCCAACAGACUGCAAAAGUGUUUGUGACCUCCAGAAACCCUUAAGGUUUUGAUCAGCAUUUCCUUAUCCCUAGUGCUCUGUUCUUGCUGUUUUAAAUUACAUUUCAGUGUACCUAGAGUAGGUAAUAAUGUUAGCACAAGUGAUAUAAUAGAUUGUUAAAAGCAUCCUUGGGUUAUUAGAUGGGAAUAUGUUGAUUAUAUAAACAAUGGUAGUGUUUAUUGUAUUAUAUUUCUGAAAUUGUUAUAGUAUUACACUGAUACAAAUUAUACUAUCCCAUCUCAAACAUAUUUAUCUAAAACACAGUGGAUUCAAUUCAAAGACUGUCAAGGACAGUGAAAGACAAUACCUGAUUUUCAGUGCUUCUGAAUCAGUAUGCUACUGUGGAUUACAUGUUAUCUGCAUUAAUUCCUAAGAUAAGAAGUACAAAUUUCGUGACCUUUCUGUUCCUGUAGCUCCAAUCACUUCCAUAAUUAUAAAAUACUGUAAGUAACAGGCAAAAGAUGCUGCUGCUGCUGAAAUACGUUUGCCUGUUUCAGAAUAUGUAAUGAGAAGUUAGUUCAGGGAAUUUUAUGAUACUAACAUGAUAGUGCAUAAUAUUAGAAAAUGUAUCUCUCAGAAGGCACUUCUUGUUACUAGAUUUAUAUGAAGAUAUAUAAACAAAUGGACAAAAUCAUUCUGAAGUGAUGCUCAGAAGGGAUAGGAAAAUGAAGGUUGCUUAAGCAGCUGAGGAAAAAAUGAACUGAAUUACUCUCAAGUUAUGCUUCUGACUCCAUGUCAUUGGAGCACUGAGAAUAUUGUGUAUAAGAACAUUAUGUUGAAUACUGUGGCAUCUUAUGUGCACUUUGUACAUUAAGGGCCUAAACUCAGGAAAUUUGAAUAGGGACUGAAGAGAAACAUCAAAUUUGAUUAUAGACUAUAUACAGACAUUCAUUGUUAAAGAAUGUACGAAAACACAAUUAUCUGUUUUUUUAAAAAUGUGGUAUUCUUACCAGAUAGCACAACUUCAAGAUUUUAAAACUGCUUAACAAUUUUUUUAGCUAUUGUGGGUGCUGAAAUGGAGAAAAAUGCAUGCUGUCUUUUCCCAUAUUGUCUUUAUGGAUCCUUAUCUUUUUAACAGCAAGUUACUUUUUCCCAUGCUUUUUUUUUUUUCUUUCUUUUUUUUUUU